GGGCCCGCACAAGCGGUGGAGCAUGUGGUUCAAUUCGAAGCAACGCGAAGAACCUUACCAACCUUUGACAUGCCUCGUAUGGUCGCCAGAGAUGGCUUCCUUCCCGCAAGGGGCGAGUGCACAGGUGCUGCAUGGCUGUCGUCAGCUCGUGUCGUGAGAUGUUGGGUUAAGUCCCGCAACGAGCGCAACCCUCGCCCUUAGUUGCCAUCAUUUAGUUGGGCACUCUAAGGGGACUGCCGGUGAUAAGCCGCGAGGAAGGUGGGGAUGACGUCAAGUCCUCAUGGCCCUUACAGGUUGGGCUACACACGUGCUACAAUGGCGGUGACAGUGGGAUGCAAUGGAGUAAUCCUGCGCAAAUCUCAAAAAGCCGUCUCAGUUCGGAUUGUGCUCUGCAACUCGAGCACAUGAAGUUGGAAUCGCUAGUAAUCGCAGAUCAGCACGCUGCGGUGAAUACGUUCCCGGGCCUU
Molecule: ribosomal RNA, 467 nt
Filed under: uncultured bacterium
Lineage: Bacteria
Description: bacterial SSU rRNA
Rfam family: Bacterial small subunit ribosomal RNA
Source: RNAcentral